UUUGUUGCCAGCGAUUAGGUCGGGAACUCAAAGGAGACUGCCAGUGAUAAACUGGAGGAAGGUGGGGAUGACGUCAAGUCAUCAUGGCCCUUACGACCAGGGCUACACACGUGCUACAAUGGCGCAUACAAAGAGAAGCGACCUCGCGAGAGCAAGCGGACCUCAUAAAGUGCGUCGUAGUCCGGAUUGGAGUCUGCAACUCGACUCCAUGAAGUCGGAAUCGCUAGUAAUCGUGGAUCAGAAUGCCACGGUGAAUACGUUCCCGGGCCUUGUACACACCGCCCGUCACACCAUGGGAGUGGGUUGCAAAAGAAGUAGGUAGCUUAACCUUCGGGAGGGCGCUUACCACUUUGUGAUUCAUGACUGGGGUGAAGUCGUAACAAGGUAACCGUAGGGGAACCUGCGGUUGGAUCACCUCCUUACCUUAAAGAAGC
RNAcentral lists this ribosomal RNA (434 nucleotides) under Salmonella enterica. Its description in RNAcentral is "partial 16S ribosomal RNA". It matches the Rfam family "Bacterial small subunit ribosomal RNA", at positions 1111 to 1533 of the family's 1533-position model. RNAcentral also lists the same sequence under 2 other names. The record is from RNAcentral. Lineage: Bacteria; Pseudomonadati; Pseudomonadota; Gammaproteobacteria; Enterobacterales; Enterobacteriaceae.